AGAUUGAACGCUGGCGGCAUGCCUUACACAUGCAAGUCGAACGGCAGCACGGGAGCAAUCCUGGUGGCGAGUGGCGAACGGGUGAGUAAUACAUCGGAACGUGCCCAGUUGUGGGGGAUAGCCCGGCGAAAGCCGGAUUAAUACCGCAUACGACCUACGGGUGAAAGCGGGGGAUCGCAAGACCUCGCGCUAUUGGAGCGGCCGAUGUCGGAUUAGCUUGUUGGUAGGGUAAAAGCCUACCAAGGCUACGAUCCGUAGCUGGUCUGAGAGGACGACCAGCCACACUGGGACUGAGACACGGCCCAGACUCCUACGGGAGGCAGCAGUGGGGAAUUUGGACAAUGGGCGCAAGCCUGAUCCAGCCAUGCCGCGUGCGGGAAGAAGGCCUUGGGUUGUAAACCGCUUUGUCAGGAAGAACGGUUGAGCUAAUACUUGAGUCUAAUGACGUACCUAGAAGAAGUAAGCACCGGCUAACUACGUGCCAGCAGCCGACGGUAAUCGUA
This 503-nucleotide ribosomal RNA is filed under the name uncultured soil bacterium. Its description in RNAcentral is "bacterial SSU rRNA". It matches the Rfam family "Bacterial small subunit ribosomal RNA", at positions 26 to 529 of the family's 1533-position model. The record is from RNAcentral.